CUCACUCUUCUCCUGCAGCGACUCAACUCUCCUCUAACCUCUUCUCUUCGUUUCCUCAGUUCCAGAUUCUCUCCUCUCCUCUCUGCACUCAUCUCUCCUCGCCGGGGACAACCACCAUUUUUUCCACCAGAAAUCCACGGAGCUCCUCUCCUCUCCUCGUUCCUCUUCUAAAAAAACCUAAGAAAAUCAGACGAUGGAGGUGCGACGGUGGUGUGCGGCUGCUACAUCGAUCUUGCCCCCGAUCUCUCUUCGUCCUCACACUUGCCAACGAUCUCUCCUCUCAGUCACCGGAGAUGUCAAGAAAACCCAUCGUUUUCGUUUCUUUGAGAUUAUGUGAAUGGUGAAUGCUAUUCAUAAGCUUUCAGGAAUUAUUUGUAAUUGUCCCAUGCCAAACUUUUGUAUCUGCUCGGUGGCUUUCAGGACAUCGCUGAGUGGCUUACUGCCUUACCAUGAAUAUGGCCCCAGUGCUGUUGCUAGAGAUAUUCAACUGAUGAUGAAUCUAAUUGUAUAGUGCCUUCAAGUUUGAACGGUGUUCCUUGGCCCUGUUUUAUGCUGGGAUGGCCUGCUAGUGGCUCUUGUUGGCUGAGUAUUGUGUAAAUAAGUUGCUUUGUAGGACAUUUUAUUUGCAUGAUUUAGUCGACUCUAGAGUAGACCAGUUUCAUUAGGUCUGGCUUAAUAAUAUCAGGUUAACUGCAGUAUGAAUUUUUCA
This is a long non-coding RNA of Spinacia oleracea (spinach), 709 nucleotides long. RefSeq lists it as uncharacterized. The record is from RefSeq and is a predicted model, not a curated record. NCBI's taxonomy places the organism in Eukaryota, Viridiplantae, Streptophyta, Magnoliopsida, Caryophyllales, Amaranthaceae. The transcript has 2 exons.